Molecule: ribosomal RNA, 486 nt
Filed under: uncultured bacterium
Lineage: Bacteria
Description: partial 16S ribosomal RNA
Rfam family: Bacterial small subunit ribosomal RNA
Source: RNAcentral
AUUGAACGCUGGCGGCAUGCCUUACACAUGCAAGUCGAACGGCAGCACGGGUGCUUGCACCUGGUGGCGAGUGGCGAACGGGUGAGUAAUACAUCGGAACAUGUCCUGUAGUGGGGGAUAGCCCGGCGAAAGCCGGAUUAAUACCGCAUACGAUCUACGGAUGAAAGCGGGGGACCUUCGGGCCUCGCGCUAUAGGGUUGGCCGAUGGCUGAUUAGCUAGUUGGUGGGGUAAAGGCCUACCAAGGCGACGAUCAGUAGAUGGUCUGAGAGGACGACCAGCCACACUGGGACUGAGACACGGCCCAGACUCCUACGGGAGGCAGCAGUGGGGAAUUUUGGACAAUGGGCGAAAGCCUGAUCCAGCAAUGCCGCGUGUGUGAAGAAGGCCUUCGGGUUGUAAAGCACUUUUGUCCGGAAAGAAAUCCUUGGCUCUAAUACAGUCGGGGGAUGACGGAACCGGAAGAAUAAGCACCGGCUAACUACGUG